Molecule: ribosomal RNA, 301 nt
Filed under: uncultured bacterium
Lineage: Bacteria
Description: partial 16S ribosomal RNA
Rfam family: Bacterial small subunit ribosomal RNA
Source: RNAcentral
CAGUCGCCGCGGUAAUACGAAGGGUGCAAACGUUGCUCGGAAUUAUUGGGCGUAAAGCGCACGUAGGCGGCCCCGCAAGUCGGAUGUGAAAUCCCUCGGCUUAACCAAGGAAGUGCAUCCGAAACUGCAGAGCUUGAGUACUUAAGAGGAUCGCGGAAUUCCCGGUGUAGAGGUGAAAUUCGUAGAUAUCGGGAGGAACACCAGUGGCGAAGGCGGCGAUCUGGGAAGAUACUAACGCUGAGGUGUGAAAGCGUGGGGAGCGAACAGGAUUAGAUACUCGCGUAGUCCCUGUCUCUUAUAC